Molecule: non-coding RNA, 372 nt
Organism: Orycteropus afer afer
Lineage: Eukaryota; Metazoa; Chordata; Mammalia; Tubulidentata; Orycteropodidae
Source: the annotation of a RefSeq genome assembly
AUGUUGCUCUCUAACCUGCUGAAAGUGGUCAUGGCUUUAACAUGCCUAGGAUUCAAUAUGGCCCAGGAGGUAACUCAAGCCCAACUAGCAAUGAUGGUACAAGAAGAGGAGGCUGUGACUCUGCCCUGCACAUAUGAUACCAAUGAGAAAAGUUUUAGUCUAUUCUGGUACAAGCAGCCCAGCAGUGGGGAGAUGAUUUUCCUUAUUCGUCAGGAUUCUUACAAUGAACAAAAUGCAACAGAAGGCCGCUACUCCUUGAACUUGCAAAAAACAGCUAAAUCCAUCAAGCUUGCCAUCUCAGCUUCACAGCUGGAAGACUCAGCAGUGUAUUUCUGUGUGCUGAGAGAAGGCACAGUAAGAGGAGAGUUGUAG